Molecule: small RNA, 492 nt
Filed under: Histoplasma capsulatum
Lineage: Eukaryota; Fungi; Ascomycota; Eurotiomycetes; Onygenales; Ajellomycetaceae
Also listed under: 1 other name
Description: hypothetical RNA
Source: RNAcentral
CCAGGCUGUUCUGGACAACGGUCCCUUGGACCGAUUCGGCGCCAAAUCCCCUCGGCCAAAUAUCUAUCUAUGCUAAUAUCGCGGGUUCCUCGGAGCCCGGAUCAAACAACAUCCCGAUCCCCAGUCCCCUUGAAGUUGCUGGAUACUAUUUGUAAACAUGUUGAAGGAUUCUUGCUGUUGUCCAGGUAAAGUUUCGCCCAACCACACCGCACCUCCUUGGCAGGUAAAAGAACUGCCUCGAAAUCGCGAGCUGCACGACAAAUAUCCAAUGCUUCCUCCGCAAGAACAGGCGCACGCAACGACCCUGGAACACCUUGGCGCCCCUCCCCACUAGCUGAGCGGCGUGCAUUCUUACAGUACUUUCUUCAUAGAGGUCUUCCUACUAGAACGGAGGAGGGACCAGCGAAAGCUCCGACACCGCAUUCCUCGAAGGUGAUCUACAGGCUGCAGCUGUCUAUCGUUAUUGCGGGGUAAAUAGAUAAACAUUUGCUA